RNAcentral lists this ribosomal RNA (253 nucleotides) under uncultured bacterium. RNAcentral describes it as "partial 16S ribosomal RNA". It matches the Rfam family "Bacterial small subunit ribosomal RNA", at positions 524 to 776 of the family's 1533-position model. The record is from RNAcentral.
UACGUAGGUGGCAAGCGUUGUCCGGAUUUACUGGGUGUAAAGGGCGUGCAGCCGGGCUGACAAGUCAGAUGUGAAAUCCCGCGGCUCAACCGCGGAACUGCAUUUGAAACUGUCAGUCUUGAGUACCGGAGAGGUCAUCGGAAUUCCUUGUGUAGCGGUGAAAUGCGUAGAUAUAAGGAAGAACACUAGUGGCGAAGGCGGAUGACUGGACGGCAACUGACGGUGAGGCGCGAAAGCGUGGGGAGCAAACAGG